CUACGUGCCAGCAGCCGCGGUAAUACGUAGGGCGCGAGCGUUGUCCGGAAUUAUUGGGCGUAAAGAGCUCGUAGGCGGCUGGUCGCGUCUGUCGUGAAAUCCUCUGGCUUAACUGGGGGCUUGCGGUGGGUACGGGCCGGCUUGAGUGCGGUAGGGGAGACUGGAACUCCUGGUGUAGCGGUGGAAUGCGCAGAUAUCAGGAAGAACACCGGUGGCGAAGGCGGGUCUYUGGGCCGUUACUGACGCUGAGGAGCGAAAGCGUGGGGAGCGAACAGGAUUAGAUACCCUGCUAGUCCACGCCGUAAACGUUGGGCACUAGGUGUGGGGGGCCUUUUCCGGGUUUUCCGCGCCGUAGCUAACGCAUUAAGCACUCCGCCUGGGGAGUACGACCGCAAGGUUGAAACUCAAAGGAAUUGACGGGGGCCCGCACAAGCGGWGGAGCAUGUGGUUUAAUUCGAAGC
RNAcentral lists this ribosomal RNA (461 nucleotides) under uncultured bacterium. RNAcentral's name for it is "bacterial SSU rRNA". It matches the Rfam family "Bacterial small subunit ribosomal RNA", at positions 501 to 957 of the family's 1533-position model. The record is from RNAcentral.